UAGGGAAUCUUCGGCAAUGGACGAAAGUCUGACCGAGCAACGCCGCGUGAGUGAAGAAGGUUUUCGGAUCGUAAAACUCUGUUGUUAGAAAAGAACAAGGACGUUAGUAACUGAACGUCCCCUGACGGUAUCUAACCAGAAAGCCACGGCUAACUACGUGCCAGCAGCCGCGGUAAUACGUAGGUGGCAAGCGUUGUCCGGAUUUAUUGGGCGUAAAGCGAGCGCAGGCGGUUUCUUAAGUCUGAUGUGAAAGCCCCCGGCUCAACCGGGGAGGGUCAUUGGAAACUGGGAGACUUGAGUGCAGAAGAGGAGAGUGGAAUUCCAUGUGUAGCGGUGAAAUGCGUAGAUAUAUGGAGGAACACCAGUGGCGAAGGCGGCUCUCUGGUCUGUAACUGACGCUGAGGCUCGAAAGCGUGGGGAGCAAACAGG
Molecule: ribosomal RNA, 429 nt
Filed under: Chloroflexota bacterium
Lineage: Bacteria; Bacillati; Chloroflexota
Description: Chloroflexi bacterium partial 16S ribosomal RNA
Rfam family: Bacterial small subunit ribosomal RNA
Source: RNAcentral